UAAUACGUAUGUCACAAGCGUUAUCCGGAAUUAUUGGGCAUAAAGGGCAUCUAGGCGGCUAAGUAAGUCUGAUGUUAAAAUGCGGGGCUCAACCCCGUAUUGCGUUGGAAACUGCUUGGCUAGAGUAUUGGAGAGGUAGGCGGAACUACAUGUGUAGAGGUGAAAUUCGUAGAUAUAUGUAGGAAUGCCGAUGACGAAGGUAGCUUACUGGACAAUUACUGACGCUGAAGUGCGAAAGCUAGGGGAGCGAACAGGAUUAGAUACCCUGGUAGUCCUAGCUGUAAACGAUGAUCACUGGGUGUGGGGGGUCGAACCUCUGUGCCGAAGUUAAUGCGAUAAGUGAUCCGCCUGGGGAGUACGUUCGCAAGAAUG
Molecule: ribosomal RNA, 372 nt
Filed under: uncultured bacterium
Lineage: Bacteria
Description: bacterial SSU rRNA
Rfam family: Bacterial small subunit ribosomal RNA
Source: RNAcentral